UGGGGAAUAUUGCACAAUGGGCGCAAGCCUGAUGCAGCCAUGCCGCGUGUAUGAAGAAGGCCUUCGGGUUGUAAAGUACUUUCAGCGAGGAGGAAGGCGUUGUGGUUAAUAACCGCAGCGAUUGACGUUACUCGCAGAAGAAGCACCGGCUAACUCCGUGCCAGCAGCCGCGGUAAUACGGAGGGUGCAAGCGUUAAUCGGAAUUACUGGGUGUAAAGCGCACGCAGGCGGUCUGUCAAGUCGGAUGUGAAAUCCCCGGGCUCAACCUGGGAACUGCAUCCGAAACUGGCAGGCUAGAGUCUUGUAGAGGGGGGUAGGAUUCCAGGUGUAGCGGUGAAAUGCGUAGAGAUCUGGAGGAAUACCGGUGGCGAAGGCGGCCCCCUGGACAAAGACUGACGCUCAGGUGCGAAAGCGUGGGGAGCAAACA
This 427-nucleotide ribosomal RNA is filed under the name uncultured bacterium. RNAcentral's name for it is "partial 16S ribosomal RNA". It matches the Rfam family "Bacterial small subunit ribosomal RNA", at positions 355 to 774 of the family's 1533-position model. The record is from RNAcentral.